This 815-nucleotide ribosomal RNA is filed under the name fungal sp. BGX9. RNAcentral's name for it is "eukaryotic LSU rRNA". It matches the Rfam family "Eukaryotic large subunit ribosomal RNA", at positions 87 to 929 of the family's 3401-position model. Lineage: Eukaryota; Fungi. The record is from RNAcentral.
CGGCGAGUGAAGCGGCAACAGCUCAAAUUUGAAAUCUGGCUCUAGGGCCCGAGUUGUAAUUUGCAGAGGAUGAUUUUGGCGCGGUGCCUUCCGAGUUCCCUGGAACGGGACGCCUUAGAGGGUGAGAGCCCCGUACGGUUGGACACCAAGCCUCUGUAAAUCUCCUUCGACGAGUCGAGUAGUUUGGGAAUGCUGCUCUAAAUGGGAGGUAAAUUUCUUCUAAAGCUAAAUACCGGCCAGAGACCGAUAGCGCACAAGUAGAGUGAUCGAAAGAUGAAAAGCACUUUGAAAAGAGGGUUAAAUAGCACGUGAAAUUGUUGAAAGGGAAGCAUUUACUACCAGACCUUCUCCCUGCGGAUCAUGCGGUGUUCUCACCGCUGCACUUCGCUUGGUUUAGGCCAGCAUCGGUUUUCGUAGAGGGAUAAAAGCUUUAGGAACGUAGCUCCCUCGGGAGUGUUAUAGCCUUUUGCAUAAUACCUUUACGGGGACCGAGGACCGCGCUUUUGCAAGGAUGCUGGCAUAAUGGUAGUCAAUGACCCGUCUUGAAACACGGACCAAGGAGUCGAACAUUUGUGCGAGUGUUUGGGUGUCAAACCCUCACGCGUAAUGAAAGUGAACGUAGGUGAGAGCCCUUACGGGUGCAUCAUCGACCGAUCUUGAUGUCUUCGGAUGGAUUUGAGUAAGAGCAUAACUGUUCGGACCCGAAAGAUGGUGAACUAUGCGUGGAUAGGGUGAAGCCAGAGGAAACUCUGGUGGAGGCUCGCAGCGGUUCUGACGUGCAAAUCGAUCGUCAAAUCUGCGCAUGGGGGCGAAAG